CGCACGGGUGAGUAACACGUAUCCAACCUGCCGUCUACUCUUGGACAGCCUUCUGAAGGAAGAUUAAUACAAGAUGGCAUCAUGAGUUCACAUGUUCACAUGAUUAAAGGUAUUCCGGUAGACGAUGGGGAUGCGUUCCAUUAGAUAGUAGGCGGGGUAACGGCCCACCUAGUCUUCGAUGGAUAGGGGUUCUGAGAGGAAGGUCCCCCACAUUGGAACUGAGACACGGUCCAA
Molecule: ribosomal RNA, 234 nt
Filed under: uncultured bacterium
Lineage: Bacteria
Description: partial 16S ribosomal RNA
Rfam family: Bacterial small subunit ribosomal RNA
Source: RNAcentral